GUCUUUCCCCGGCGUUAUCAUGAUAACAGGACUAGAUUUUUCAUACACUGGACCGUCAACAAUGGGGAUCAAGAAACGGGGUGUUACAAUUUAGAUUGUCGAGGAUUUGAACAAGAAAAUGAUGUAGAUAUGAUAGGCAAAUCAUUGGAUCCAGUAUCAUCCUAUGAUGGUCCACAACAUUAUAUUACAAUUCAAGUUGUCCAGCAUUUCAGGGGAGGAGCUUGGCAUUUGAUAGUGGAUGACAGUGUGGUGGGUAAUUGGC
Tripterygium wilfordii is the source of this 262-nucleotide long non-coding RNA. RefSeq lists it as uncharacterized. NCBI's taxonomy places the organism in Eukaryota, Viridiplantae, Streptophyta, Magnoliopsida, Celastrales, Celastraceae. The record is from RefSeq and is a predicted model, not a curated record. The transcript has 3 exons.